RNAcentral lists this microRNA (19 nucleotides) under Apis mellifera (honey bee). RNAcentral's name for it is "ame-miR-6002-5p". Lineage: Eukaryota; Metazoa; Arthropoda; Insecta; Hymenoptera; Apidae. The record is from miRBase by way of RNAcentral.
UCGAAGCGAAGGGUAUUCC